GUCUACAGCCAUGCCACCCUGAACAAGCCCGAUUCUGUCUGAUCUCAGAAGCUAAGCAGGAUUGGGCCUGGUUAGUACUUGGAUGGGAGACCACCUAGGAAGACUACGUGCUACUGUAGGCG
Molecule: ribosomal RNA, 122 nt
Filed under: Pteropus alecto (black flying fox)
Lineage: Eukaryota; Metazoa; Chordata; Mammalia; Chiroptera; Pteropodidae
Source: RNAcentral